UAAAAAAGACUGUUUCACCACCAAAUGGGGCUCCAGAGAACGACAAGAAUGUGAAUCCUGCAGAUUCUGCUGUUGCUGAGACAUACAACAAUCUGUCAGAUAACUCAGACAGUUUUGCCGAAUGUCUCCAUUAUCCAAGUAAGACUUCCGGCAGUUAUUUUCAUAGAAGCAAUGUCAAGCUGUACAGAAGGACCUACAGUGUAUUUCCUGGCUAAAAAUUUAAUAAAGCUGCUACGCAAAAGCAGGGAAACAGUAGAGGAAAUCAGGAAGUGGGAGCCUUCAUGCUAAGCCAUGUAUGACUAACCCGUGAAUAAGGAACACAGAGUGCUGGAAGAGAAGUGGAAGCACGCCCAGAUGUGAACAGCAUGAGAGUUCUGAUGAAAAAAUGAAAUGUGUUGUUCAGAUAAUUGCCUCUGCGAAGAGUAAACAUACUCAGAACUGUGCAGCCUCGUGCCAUUUCUUAUUUUGCCCACAACAAAACAAAGUGUGACUGGAACACUGUACCAGUUUAUUACCUGUUAAUGUAUUACACAAAUGAACACUACACAACUUCCAUCUAGGCUCAUCUGUUUUGCAGAUGUACUUUUGUUCAGAUUCAAAAUGUAAGCAUGCGUGCCUGCAUCACCAUACCUGUAUAAAUGCAAAUGAGCUAACAAUAAAAAUACCU
Corvus hawaiiensis (hawaiian crow) is the source of this 667-nucleotide long non-coding RNA. RefSeq lists it as uncharacterized. The transcript is spliced from 3 exons. The record is from RefSeq and is a predicted model, not a curated record. NCBI's taxonomy places the organism in Eukaryota, Metazoa, Chordata, Aves, Passeriformes, Corvidae.